Molecule: unclassified non-coding RNA, 1128 nt
Filed under: Hevea brasiliensis (rubber tree)
Lineage: Eukaryota; Viridiplantae; Streptophyta; Magnoliopsida; Malpighiales; Euphorbiaceae
Source: RNAcentral
UGGUGAUUUAAUCCUAUGGCUGAGACUAAGGGAGUCGGCAGCCAAGGAAAUAUUUUAUGCUUGCAUAUGUGUUAUGAAGAUGCCUGCCGCACCCUAAAAACUUCACCUGAAAACUAGAUAUGACAAAUAAUUUCUGGGAAAUCUGAAAAUUACCUAGAUAUCUUUAAUCCCUAAAGUUUAAAGAAAAUAUAAAUAUGAAAGUAAUUAAACAUAAAUAAACAAGAAUUUUAUGCAUUCCAAAUUCCUAUCCUGAAUUUUAAGCAUAUUGUUAGAAGAUUCUGUAUUUAAUUUUGCUCUUUGUGCAAGCCUCUUAUUUUCCACAUCAACAAUAGGUCAGAUAUUCAUAUAUAAUUCCUCAACAUUGGCUUGCCAUGUGUACAUUUCUAUAAUUACUAGUGAGCAGUGGGUGCUAAAUCACAUAAACUCUUGAGGCUUGGUUAAAUAAGUUCCUCUCAUUUUCAAAUAUUUGCACAAUUUGUCAUUGAAUUUCAUUGUCAGUACCUGGUUAAAAUUGGCCAAAAUGAUAGUGAAAUUUACUUUUGUUACACCAAACCUUAUAAGAAUUCAUGCCAUUUCCCUUCUGAAAGUGAAAUUUUUAAUUUUUAAUUUUUAAAAUAGUACUUUCUCUUGGUGGUUGCCUCCUCAAUAACCCUACUGAAGUUUAUCCCUAUUUAUCUCCAUAUUAGUGCCUUGAAAUGAACUAAUGCUUCUCAUUUUUAUGUUAAGUCAAUUUCAAACCUCUUAACUAAUGGCAGGUGAGAAAGGUAAUCUAGAUAUCUGUCCUAUCCUUAGCCAAUUCAUAAAGUUUUCUUUUGUGAGAUGUGAAAUACUCUGUCCAAUUGGAAGUUGAUUUCUAGUAAUUAAGUUCUGUGAAGAUUUUUAUGUUUUUAGAAUAGUCAAUUCAAUUACUUUCCUUUUUUACAAUUUAAUAAAGAUAUUUAAAAAAAAAAAAGCUGCAAGACAUAAGACAUAGGAAGAGUUAGCUAUCCAAAAUGCAAUGUGUAAUAGUUUGUUAAUUGGAUGUACAUUUAUCAAGUCAUAACCUAUAAUUAAAAUUUAAUAAAGUAAUUGGUAGAUGCACAAAAUUGUCAAAUUUAACUGAAAUCCAUUCGGAUAGUCAAAUUACAA